CCCUUAGAUGUUCGGGGCCGCACGCGCGCUACACUGAAGGAGUCAGCACGUCUUUCUCCUUGUCCGAAAGGACUGGGUAACCCGCUGAACCUCCUUCGUGCUAGGGAUUGGGGCUUGUAAUUCUUCCCCAUGAACGAGGAAUUCCCAGUAAGCGCGAGUCAUAAGCUCGCGUUGAUUACGUCCCUGCCCUUUGUACACACCGCCCGUCGCUACUACCGAUUGGAUGGUUUAGUGAGAUCCUCGGAUUGGUCCCGGCGCGGCCUCUGGUCGUGCCGGAGUGCCGAAAAGAAUGUCGAACUUGAUCAUCUAGAGGAAGUAAAAGUCGUAACA
This 330-nucleotide ribosomal RNA is filed under the name uncultured eukaryote. RNAcentral describes it as "partial 18S ribosomal RNA". It matches the Rfam family "Eukaryotic small subunit ribosomal RNA", at positions 1470 to 1796 of the family's 1831-position model. The record is from RNAcentral.